AUGAACGCUGGCGGCGUGCUUAACACAUGCAAGUCGAGCGAGAAGUUUUGAAAAGAUUCUUCGGCUGAAAUUUAAAAUGGAAAGCGGCGGACGGGUGAGUAACGCGUAGGCAACCUGCCCCAUACAAAGGGAUAGCAUUUGGAAACGAAUAUUAAUACCUUAUGAAACUUAACUAGUGCAUGCUAGGUAGGUCAAAGAUUUAUCGGUAUGGGAUGGGCCUGCGUCUGAUUAGCUAGUUGGUGAGGUAACGGCUCACCAAGGCGACGAUCAGUAGCCGACCUGAGAGGGUGAACGGCCACAUUGGAACUGAGACACGGUCCAAACUCCUACGGGAGGCAGCAGUGGGGAAUAUUGCACAAUGGGGGAAACCCUGAUGCAGCAACGCCGCGUGAACGAUGAAGGCCUUUGGGUCGUAAAGUUCUGUUCUAGGUGAUGAAAACUGACAGUAACCUAGGAGAAAGCCCCGGCUAACUCCGUG
RNAcentral lists this ribosomal RNA (478 nucleotides) under uncultured bacterium. RNAcentral describes it as "partial 16S ribosomal RNA". It matches the Rfam family "Bacterial small subunit ribosomal RNA", at positions 29 to 507 of the family's 1533-position model. The record is from RNAcentral.